RNAcentral lists this long non-coding RNA (751 nucleotides) under Hordeum vulgare. RNAcentral describes it as "long non-coding RNA (HVUL_LNC009036)". The record is from RNAcentral. Lineage: Eukaryota; Viridiplantae; Streptophyta; Magnoliopsida; Poales; Poaceae.
UUUUCUUUUUGUGUGUCUGUCUAGUUUGAGAAAACCCAAAAAGAUUUUCUUUUCUUCUUUUGCUUGUUGGGAGCUUUCCCGUGGUAGAUAGUUUUCUUUUUCUUUGGGUCAAGGUAGAAGAUAUUGGUUACAAUGUUUAGUGGCUCUUGCAUGCAUACCUGUUUAGCUUUCAAAGACCAUAUUAUUUUGUAUUCUCCUUUGUGUUUGCCUGCAGAUUCCAGCGUAGUCCAAUGCACGAGCACGCUUAUUAUUGUUCACAUCGUUCGGUCGUGCAAGUGAAAGGAAAUAAUGACGAUAUAUGAUGAAGUGAGUGAGCCUGGAAAAGCUGGUAUGAACUCGAUCUAUUUUGUUUUUGUAAAUAUGACUAGCUCAUCAUGCCUGAUUCAGCUUUGUUGUGAGAGACAUGUUUGCAAUGACAACUUAGAGAUCAUACUUGCUUAUGUCAUGCUUACUUAGGUAGGAUCUUAUAAUGGUUUGUCUUGGAUGCCCAGAUGAAUGUUGAGAUGACUGUGAUGUAGUAUGAUAGGAUGGUAUCCUCCUCUGAAUGUGUCAAGUGGCUUGACUUGGCGCAUGUUCACGCAUGUAGUUGAAACAAAAUCAACGUAGCCUCUAUGAUGUUCAUGUUCAUGGUGAUUUAUGUCCUACUCAUGCUUGCACUCAAUGGUAGUUGAUCUCAAUGCAUUUUGAUGACUGUUAUCGCUCUCUAGUUGGUCGCUUCCCAGUCUUUUGCUAGCCUUCACUUGUACUAAGC